This is a long non-coding RNA of Pezoporus occidentalis (night parrot), 897 nucleotides long. RefSeq lists it as uncharacterized. The transcript is spliced from 2 exons. Lineage: Eukaryota; Metazoa; Chordata; Aves; Psittaciformes; Psittacidae. The record is from RefSeq and is a predicted model, not a curated record.
UGCUUUUCCCAUUUCCUUCUUUUUCUUCUUUCUCCUUUUUCCGUUUUCUCCCUCCUCCCCUCCCUUUUUCUUUCCUCUUUUUCUUCCUUUCCUCCCCUUUAUUCCUUCCUUCCCUCUUUCCUGUGCUUUCCUCUUUUCCAUGUUUUGUCUCUCUUUCCUGCUCCCUUCGUUUUUUUUUCCACCCCUUCUGCCCUCCUUUUUCUCCCUUUCUCUCCUCUUUGCCUAUUUAUCCCCUCUUUUUAAACUUCUUCCCCACUUCCCUCUCUUUCUCUUCUAUUUCCUCCCUUUCUGUUUCUCCUCUUCCCUUUUUCCCAUCCACCCCUAUCUCACACCACAGCAGGAGCACUGGGAUAUUCAGGAGAAAAAAAAAAAAACAGGAGAGGGGGAAAUCCCUCGCAACACGCAGACGAGCACACGAGCUGCACCUCACAGGCAAAGGCCUCUCUCUCCUCUAAGCUGUCUGAAACAAAACCAGGAGCGCCAUAGAGGACGGGCGCACCGGAGUUUUGCCGCUGCACUGACUUGCCCACCUCUGUCCCCCCGCCGUGCCGCGGCACCCCGGACACACACCAGCUAACCCGCACACCCGUCCCACAUCCCAGCGCCUGGCUGGGGCUGGAAGGCGUUCCUCAUCGGCCUGCUGGCUUCCUCCUCCGGCUGCCGGCUACUCCCUGUCUCCCUUUUGUUUCCCAGUACUUUUAUCCCCAGUAAUGGCUAGUUCAGACUUUCACAAGAUGGAGCAGGUUUUGAAGAGAGAAAAAGGUUUUGAAAUGCCGAGAGCUCGUACUGAGUUGCCUCCCUUCCUUCCCCCCAGAAUCUUAGUGUCUCCCCCAGUUUCUCCUCCCUGUGAACACUCCACCCCCUGGCUCACACAACAGUUCCAUUAAGCACAACCAG